Molecule: long non-coding RNA, 6513 nt
Filed under: Marmota monax (woodchuck)
Lineage: Eukaryota; Metazoa; Chordata; Mammalia; Rodentia; Sciuridae
Source: RNAcentral
UGCAGAGACAACUGUACUGAGCCUGCCAGGUUCAACCCCGGCCUCCUCUUGCCUAGCCUCCAGUGCCCCCUCCUCCCAUAGCCCUGAGGCUGGCCUCAAGGUAGGGCACCCCAUCUCCUCUGCUAACUGCGGGGGUGGGGGGUGUUGAAGCCCGAGGACAGGAGGGGCAGGAAGGUGGGGUGGGUAGAGGGUCACCGGCCCAGCAGGGAGCCUCCUGGCCUCAUCUUGCAGAUGAGGAAGCUGCAGUCAGAGAGGGAAGUGGGCUGGCCUGGGUCACACAGUGGGCAGGGGGGUCUCCAGCGCUUGGGUGUGGCGCUGUCUGAGCAGCAGCUUGCUGGCGGGGAGGUCCCACAGGGCUGGGGUGAGAGGAGAGUUGGCCCAGGCCACAGCCCACCCCUCCCGAGGAAGCCGAGGACCAGGCGUGGUUGGCCAGGCUUCCCUGCACCACCUCUGGGGUGGUUCUGGGUGCGACAGCAGGUCAGGCCAAGCAGAGCCCCGAGGGCCCCCACCUCCCUGCAGCUGGGGCAGGUGGGCCUGACCAGAAAAUGAGGGCUGCCCCCCUUGGCAGGCCAGCCCAGUCCAGCCCCUGCCAGCCUCUCGGCCUUCCUUGGCUUGGCCAGACCAUUACUCCCCAGGUCUCGCCCUCUGUGCUUGUGCUUCUGCCGGGAAGGCUCAGUGGGCCCAGCUUGGCCUCUGCUCAGCCACCAUUUCCUCCAGGAAGUCCCCUCCCCCUCCUCCCUUUACCCCUCCAUACCCUCCAGCCUCGCUCUCGUCUGGGGUUCAACCAUGGAGGUCAACCAUGGCCCUUGCUAGAGGAGCUAGAAGGGCCUCCAGGAGCCUAAGGUCAAAGUCUCAUUUCACAAAUGGGAAAACUGAGGCGGGAGGGCGGCCUGCCUAGGCCACAUAGCGUGUGGCAUGUCACCCUGGGGAGUGUGCCUCCGUGGGCUCACCACAUUCCCCAUUCUCUAGGCACCCACAGUCAGAGGGCAGGGGCUCCGGAGCUCUCCUGAACGGGGACUACAGGACGCUGAUUCAGAGGCAGGCUGGGUGGUGAUGGUGACCUUGGGCUUCUCCCUGCUGUCCCUUGGCUCUGCCCAGCCAGGAGCCUUAGCAAGAGUUGGACAGGCCCAGUUCAAGGGGCAGGUGGCUGGCUAGCCUGCUCCAAGAGGGGUGAGGCCUGACCCCAAACCAGCCUACAGCAGGGCCUGUGGCAUUUCUCUGGGAAAGGGAGAGAGGAAGGGUCCCUGUCCUGGGUGUGUCACAGGAUUUCUGCCUGUUCUUUGCACCCAGAAUCCAGCUGUCCCUGAAGCCACCCUUGGGGCUCUGUGGCCCGGGGCAGCUCUUCAGGUCUGGUGUGUCCUCAAUGGCCGCCCUCUUUCCUGUCUGGUCCCCACCCACCAUUGCUGUCACUCUAUCCCUGCGACCCAGUUUCCCUCCUUGUCUCUGCCUUGGGGCAGGGAAUGCUGGAGAUAGUGUCCCCCUUUGAGGCAGGUCCAUGAUGGAUCGGGUGUCCUGGGUGGGGCGGGCAGGUGCGUCUGCUGGCUGUGGCAGGGGCCACAGCUUUCAGGUCUUCAAUGCUGCAGAUUAAGUUCCAUCCCCAGGGACCCCUGUUGUGGGGCCAUUGUGAUGGCUUGGGAACCACAGUGUCUCUUGGCCAGCUGGUGUGGCCCUGUCCAGGGCUGGGGCCCCAGCAUCCUCUGGGCUGUUUGGGCAGCCUCCAGAGAAGGAGCACCUGGGGGCUCAUGUCUGUGAACACCUGCUGCCACAGUGGACACAGGGCCUUGGGGAGCACGGCACCCCGCCUGGCUGAUGCCCUGUCUUCUGCCCAGGAGCACUGUUGGGAAAGCAUGGCUGCUUUGCAGCUCUAGGAGCAGAGCGUGGCUGGAUUUUCAGUGUCCAUACUUGGUCAGUGCAUGACCUCCAUCCAGGCGCACAGUGGCCCUGACACUGCCCUCUGUCCCCUCCCUCCCCAUCACUCAAGGCUUUCUGCAGCCGGGGCUGCUCUCCUUGGUGGUGUCCUCCCCAGCCCGCGCUCAGAUUGUAAGGCUGGCCUUGGCCUCCGCCCCUGACAGUGUUGGAGGACAGACAAGGACAGACAACUUCAGAUCCUAAUCCCAAGGCUUUGCGUUUCCCCCCUGAAGGGUCAAGGGAGCAUAGGACUGGAGGCCAGGUGGUCAGAUGCCUCCCAGCACCCAGCCUGGGCCCCUCCUUCUCCCCUCACCCCCUCUGGGGCCUAAGACCUGCUCUUUGGCCCUUGUGCAGAAGCCUGGUGUCUUCCUCUUGGUGCCCCAAACAGAGGCGGCCACAUAUUUUAUCAUCUAAACUGGGACAUUUUUGAGAGCCUGAGGGAGCUCUGCUACUAAUGACACUUGCACGACACUGGGUGUGUCGGUGACAGAACAAAGACCCCCAGUACAAAGAGGCAUGCUGGUGGCACACAAUCCGUGUGCAGGAAAAAGCACUGUGAUGGCUUGGGAACCACAGUGUCUCUCAGCCAGACGGUGUGGCACAGGGUGGCACCCAAGUGCACUUGUGUGUCCACAGGUGGUGGGGGGACAUGGCAUGCAGCCAGUCUGCACGUGGGGGCUGGCCAUGUCCAGGGACACGUGUCUCCCCAUGUGCAAACGCCUAAGCCCAUCCCAUCAGCCCCCAGAUGGCUCCUGCCCCAGCACAGCUGGAAACUCCGGAAGGAGGAGGCGGGUCCUGCUGGCCUCAUCCUUGGUCUCCGGAGAGGUGGCCAGGACAAGGUGGGAGGUGGAGGCCGGGCUGGCUCUGGGGAGCCAGGGCUGUGACAGCAACCUUCGACCGAAGGUCUGUCCAUGGGGAAUGUGCUGCCUGGAGAGGCGAGGCCCCUGAGGCUGCGUCAGCUGCUCUGGAGUCCACCCUGACCCUCUACCCCUCCUCCUCCAGGCAGCCUUCUGUGACCUCUGCCCUGGCCCUCAUUGCCUCUGCUGCACCCCAGGCCUAAGGGUGGCACUUCAGGGAGAGGAGGACUCAGCCCUCUCCUGAUCCCGAGCAUCUGCUGAAUGGCUGCUUCCCUGGGACUCCUGAGCGUCCAGUGGACAUAUUCCCUGAGGGCUCAUUACCCUAAGGAACAGCAGUCUGGGCCCUGGACAGACAGGGUCUGCUUUGAAGCCCGGCCUGGUGACCCCUCCAGACACAAGGGAGGGCCUGGGGACAAGCCAUGCUGAGGCCUUCCGAGGCAGUGGCUCGCUAGUAGGUCACAGGGGAGUCCUCAGGGUCACUCUGGCUUGUCCUGGGCAACCAUCAAACCCUCUCCUUCCUGAAACUGGAAUGUGAUGGAGAUGCUGGACCCACGUGCAAUGGUGGAGAUAGAAGGGGGACAAGGCACAGCCAGUCUUGCCGCUGGGACUCUCCUGAAAACGGAAUUCUACGCAGGAUCAGCAGGAUCCAAUAAAAGGGGUGUCAUGAGGGCACCUCAAGGAGGUAACGGAGGUGCAAAGUCCCGGGGUCCAAUGAGCUCAGUGGCUCUUGGGAGCAUUUGGGGGACACCUCCCAGAAGCCAAAGCUACGUUGGCACGGAUGAUCACAGUUUGAGGGGAAUAGGGGCUCCUGGGCCUGCGGUGGACGGGGCCAGGGCAGGGUUGAGAUGGAGGGUCUCUCCCUAGAAAGCUAGAACUUGAGGAGACCAGUCCAUGGGAAUGGGGGAGGGGAGGGAUCCCGUGGCUGGACAGCGGCAGGAGCUCCAGCUGGACCCAUAUCUGUUCUGCUCCUUGGGGAGCAGGGUCCCCUUCAGCCCCUGGACCCAGGAGACCUGGUCUACUGCAAGCCCUUGCCCCUGGACCCUCAUGGGUCAAUGAGCUGAAAUCCGAAACUCAGAGGUCUGUGGAGUAGCCCAUGUCGUGGAAGGUUGGGAGCUUGCCCAUGAGACGCCCAAGCAGGCCCGGCCUCCCAUCCUCCCGGGUUCUGACAGAUGAGCCUCUUUAGACCCUCCCAGCCCCAGGGCUGCUGUGACAAAGUGCCACAAGCCAAGUGCCUUUAAUAACAAAAAUGGAGCUGGGUGCAGUGAUGCACACCUGUGAUCCCACACCUGUGAUCCACACCUGGGGACCCAGCAACUCAGGAGGCUGAGGCAGGAGGAUCCCAAGUUCAAUGCCAGCCUCAGCAACUUAGCAAGAGCCUGCGUCAGAAUCAAAGUUUAACGUCAGGCGGGUGGGGAGGACUGGGGAUGCAGCUCAAUGUAAAGAGCUUUCCUAGUACCAUGAGGCCCUGGGUACGAUUCAAUUCAAUUCCUUUUCGAAGGAAGGAAAGACAGAAGGAGGAAAAGGAGGAAGGAGAAACACACACGAAUUGGUCCCCCACCCCGUGUCCUAGAGGACAGGAGUCCAAGUGAGGGUGUGAGCAGGGCCAAGUCCCUCUGAGGGCUGAGGGUGAAUCUGUCCCUGGCUGCUCUCUGGCUUCUGGUGGCUUCCUGGUGCUCCUUGGCCUAACUGCCUCGCUCCAUCCUGUCUCCAGCAGGGUCCUCUCUGAGCCUUGUGUCCUUUCCUCACAAGGACACUAUUCAUUGCACUUAGGACCCACCCUCCCUCCAGGAUGGCCUCAUCUCAAGGUCCUUAACUAGUUACGUCUCUGGAGGCCUUUUCUCCAAGCCAGAUCCCUUUCCAGGGGCUGGGACUUGAUAUAUUUUGGAGGGGGGGGUGUCACAGUACCCCCAAAUGUCAGGGACCUAUGAGGCCAAACUUCCCUCACUGCUAAAUCAGUUUCCCUAUCUGCACUGGUGUACGUGGGUGGGGGACACCGAUUGGCAUGGGGACCAAGAGCCUGGUCCCAGGCAGGGUUGGCGGCUCCAAGAGCAGGGAGCAGGCAGUGCCAGGCCUGCCCACCAGGAAUGUGACCUGUAGUCCCCACCCGCACAGCACAAAUGGACAGUUAACACCUGCCCCUGACUCCUGGCUGGUUCCCAGCAUCCCAGGCCCCUGCGAGGCAUGAGAGACAGAGGGUCGCAUACAGAUAGGCCAACAAUCCCUCCCCCCCAGGCCUGCCCUCCCCCCUGUGCUAAGCCUUCUUGCUAGCAGGGUGUUUUGGCCCUCAGGCCUGGGCAUGAGUGUGGGCAAGUGGCCACCAGGCCCUGGGCCAGCGAGGAGGCUGGGCUCCCAGCGCUUGCCCCCUCAGAUUGCCCCACCAGUGGGAUCACGCAUGCCAUGCCGGUGUCAACUCAGAUGAUCUUCCAGAGCUCUUUACAAGAUGUGGAAACUGAAAUUCAGCGGUCCUCCAGCCAGGAGGUGCAGCCAGGACUGGAAGCGAGGUCUGCGGGUCUCCACCUUCUGGGGGCUUCCUUGGCCCCCCAGCAGAGGCCUGGCAGCAGCUGCUCUGUCCCUCAGAAACCACCUGGGGGCUCAGCUUCCCUGUCUGUGAAAUGGAGUCCUGUCUGCCGGCAGGACUCCCAGGGCCAGGGAGGGACAUGGACAAAGGAGCUGAGGCCAGGUGUGCCUGGCCUGGUCUCAGGACCCCAGCUCAGCAGACACAGGUCAGGGCAGGCCCAGCCCAGCUGGCCUGCUGGCCAGAUCCCUCCAGGGCCUCUGUGGGGAGGUGGUGGGAACGGGCCUGCUCUCUGCCUCCCAGCCCCCACGUGCACCCCCCUGGGGCCUGGUCAGCGGCUCAGGUGUCCCCGUACAGCAGGUUCCUCGUCUCUGUGGAGUCUGAGGGAGGUUACUCCCCAGGGGCCACGGGCAGCUCUGUCCCUGCUGGUGAGGACAGCAGGCAGGCGGGGUGGCCGUCUGGCUGAGGGAGGGAGGGGCCAGUCCUGAUGCCAUCUCCUCCUGUCCCCCAGGAGGCGGGACCGCCCAGGUGUAUCCACAGGGACCUUCCCUGAGGCCCCUUCCCACGACCUCUGUGUCCGCCCCCCAUGGUGUCUGGGUCUAGGCUCUCUUAGUCUGUAGCCUGCUCGUCCAGUCUCAGGCCCUUGGGUCAGGCAAGGCCAGGGGGCUGUGGCUGCAGCUUGCUGACUCUCCACACCAGCACCUGAGAGUCUGCUGUCUCUGUUGCCCAGUUCUUCUUGGCAGGUCAGGAUCCCCCAAUUUUAUAGGCACUGAAAGGGAGGCUCAUUGUGUGUGUGUGUGGUGGGGGUAGUAGGGAGGCCCUGCCUGCAAACUGCCUGACAGCCACUUCUUAUCCACCGAGCCAAGCCUGUUUUGGAAUUGACAUUGGGACCUCCCUGGGAAACUGAGGCUGGGAGGGGUGACACUUUGCUCAAGGGUGUGCUUAUCUGCCUUUUGGAGCCAUAUUGUUGGAGCUUAAAUCUUGACUGUGCUGAGUGACCUCAGGUGAGGCACAUGACCUCUCUGUGCCCCUCCCCGCCUUUUGAUUCUCUCCAAGGCCCCUUGAUCUUCGUGGGGUCUGAGUCUGGCAGCACGGCCUGGUGGCUUUCAUUCAUCUGCAUUGCUGCAAGUUGGGAAACUGAGGCUCAGAGAAGGCAGAGCCCCGGACGAAGCCCAGCCUGGGUUUAGUGGGUGCUGAGGAGCUGGUGGGUGGAAUGGGCCAGGGGCUGGGGGU